Molecule: long non-coding RNA, 1415 nt
Filed under: Nicotiana tabacum (common tobacco)
Lineage: Eukaryota; Viridiplantae; Streptophyta; Magnoliopsida; Solanales; Solanaceae
Description: long non-coding RNA (NTAB_LNC005457)
Source: RNAcentral
UCCCCAAUUCCUCAUUCUUCACGCAAACAAAAAGGAAAAUACCCAGGUCAAUUUUGGUCUCCAUCUUCUGCGAUUUCUCUGCCAGUGACCAGCGAACUUCUGCGUUUGGAAGUUCUCGCUGCUCUCCGUCUCCGCCGGCGCUACUCGUUACUCCGACAGUCCGACAAUUCCACCCCGCCAUUGAACUGAUCUACUUGCUGAUUUGGAUUUUUAUUUUUUCUGAGAUGAAGCUGUUCAUUUGAAGACAUUUUCUUUGUGGGUUUUUGGUUUAUUUUCCCAUGUUGUUGAGCUUCUGAGUUGGACAUUUUUGCGAAACUGCAAUUGUAUUUGAGCUGAGAUUUUCUGCCGCUGCAAUAAGGACCACCGUCUCCGUCACUGAAUCCGGUCGUGAAAUCUGAAUACCCAUUUUAGUAGUGUAGAUCGGCUAAGCAAAUCGGAGCUUUUUUCUUCACCCUCACUCUGUCACUCUAAACCAGACGCCAAACUCACGAUCUCUUUUGCCGGCCCGGCAAAACCAAUUUUGUGCAGCUUCUUCCCGGCGAGGACAGACUAUUUCCCGGUGUGUUCAGAUUACCGGCAAGUUUUGUAUAUUCCGGCAACUUUCGAACAACUUUCAGGCGGGACACAGCAGGACUUGCCAGUGCUCUUGAGCAGAUCCGACACGCUUCAGGAAAACUUGCUCCAGGUUCUUUCGUUCUAUAUCUGGUACUCGUGGUAUCGGUAUUUUUAUUGUAUUUUUUCUGCUCCCGGGAGUUGGUACCUCCCGUUUUUCAGUUUUCCUUUGUUGUGUGAGUUAAAUUACUGACAUCUUACCUCGUACUAGUUUAUUUACUGUAUUAGUGUGCCUGUUGUUGCAACUUGUAUUCUUCUGGUUUGGUAUGUUGCCUUGUGUGAUAGUGAUUCCCCUUACUCUGCCGUAGGUAGAGUGGUUGUGGUCUGGAAUGGUCGAGUGAGGUCAUGUCCUCGGGGGGAACGGGGGGUGGGGCGGGAGGCAAGGGAGGUAAAGGGAACAAGGGUAUCUGUAGGUUGAGAAUUGGGUCAUGGAACGUAGGUACAUUGACGGGUAAAUCUAUAGAGUUGGUGAAGAUCCUCCAGAAGAUGAGGGUCAAUAUAGCGUGUGUCCAGGAGACAAGCUGGGUAGGGUCGAGGGCGAGGGACGUGGACGGGUAUAAACUUUGGUACUCAGGAGUUUGAUAGAUUGAUGACUAUUAAGUUGGUGGUUGGAGAAUGCACCCUAAACAUCGUUAGUGCCUAUGCGCCGUAUGUGGGCCUAGAUGAGGAGGUUAAACUGCGCUUCUGGGAAGGAUUAGAUGAGAUUGUGCGUCAUGUUCCGCCUGCUGAGAAGCUAUUCAUAUGAGGGGAUUUCAAUGGGCAUAUUGGGUCGACCGCAGGUGGUUAUGGCGAGGUGCAUNNNN